Molecule: ribosomal RNA, 253 nt
Filed under: uncultured bacterium
Lineage: Bacteria
Description: partial 16S ribosomal RNA
Rfam family: Bacterial small subunit ribosomal RNA
Source: RNAcentral
UACGUAGGGGGCAAGCGUUGUCCGGAUUUAUUGGGCGUAAAGAGCGUGUAGGCGGCCAGAUAGGUCAGCUGUGAAAACUCGAGGCUCAACCUCGAGAUGUCGGCUGAAACCAUCUGGCUAGAGUCCGGAAGAGGAGAAUGGAAUUCCCGGUGUAGCGGUGAAAUGCGCAGAUAUCAGGAAGAACACCUAUGGCGAAAGCAGCUCUCUGGGACGGUACUGACGCUGAGACGCGAAAGCGUGGGGAGCGAACAGG